This 314-nucleotide ribosomal RNA is filed under the name Florenciella parvula. Its description in RNAcentral is "partial Bacterial large subunit ribosomal RNA". It matches the Rfam family "Bacterial large subunit ribosomal RNA", at positions 714 to 1026 of the family's 2925-position model. The record is from RNAcentral. Lineage: Eukaryota; Dictyochophyceae; Florenciellales.
CCCGAAACCGAGUGAUCUAGGCAUGACCAGGAUGAAGGUUAGGUAACACUAACUGGAGGUCCGAACCCACACCUGUUGAAAAAGGUCGGGAUGAGUUGUGCCUAGGGGUGAAAGGCCAAUCAAACUCGGAGAUAGCUGGUUCUCUGCGAAAUCUAUUUAGGUAGAGCGUCACGAUUAGACUCUGGGGGGUAGAGCACUGAAUGGGCUAGGGGUCCUCACCGGAUUACCAAACCUUCUCAAACUCCGAAUACCCAGAAGUUAUGCGUGGCAGACACACGGCGGGUGCUAACGUCCGUCGUGAAAAGGGAAACAAC